GAGCGGGAGUAGCUUAAUUGGUAAAGCUUCAAUCUUCCAAAUUGUAUGUUGCAAGUUCGAGUCUUGCCUCCCUCU
This 75-nucleotide transfer RNA is filed under the name Deltaproteobacteria bacterium. RNAcentral describes it as "tRNA-Gly". It matches the Rfam family "tRNA". Rfam says of the family: Transfer RNA (tRNA) molecules are approximately 80 nucleotides in length. Their secondary structure includes four short double-helical elements and three loops (D, anti-codon, and T loops). Further hydrogen bonds mediate the characteristic L-shaped molecular structure. tRNAs have two regions of fundamental functional importance: the anti-codon, which is responsible for specific mRNA codon recognition, and the 3' end, to which the tRNAs corresponding amino acid is attached (by aminoacyl-tRNA synthetases). tRNAs cope with the degeneracy of the genetic code in two manners: having more than one tRNA (with a specific anti-codon) for a particular amino acid; and 'wobble' base-pairing, i.e. permitting non-standard base-pairing at the 3rd anti-codon position. The record is from RNAcentral. Lineage: Bacteria; Pseudomonadati; Myxococcota; Myxococcia.